AAAGGUAAGCUACUAAGAGCGAAUGGUGGAUGCCUUGACUGGUAAAGGCGAUGAAGGACGUACUAGACUGCGAUAAGCUACGGGGAGCUGUCAAGAAGCUUUGAUCCGUAGAUUUCCGAAUGGGGCAACCCAGUAUAUAGAGAUAUAUACUACCAUAAUGGAGCGAACGAGGGGAAUUGAAACAUCUUAGUACCCUCAGGAAAAGAAAUCAAUAGAGAUUACGUCAGUAGCGGCGAGCGAAAGCGUAAGAGGGCAAACCCAGUGCUUGCACUGGGGGUUGUAGGACUGCAAUGUGCAAUAAGUAAGGUUAGUAGAACACUCUGGAAAGUGUAGCCAUAGAGGGUGAUAGUCCCGUAUACGAAAACCAAACUUUAGCUAGCAGUAUCCUGAGUAGGGCGAAACACGUGGAAUUUUGUCUGAAGCUGGGUCGACCACGAUCCAACCCUAAAUACUAAUACCAGAUCGAUAGUGCACAAGUACCGUGAGGGAAAGGUGAAAAGAACUGAGGUGAUCAGAGUGAAAUAGAACCUGAAACCAUUUGCUUACAAUCAUUCAGAGCACUAUGUAGCAAUACAGUGUGAUGGACUGCCUUUUGCAUAAUGAGCCUGCGAGUUGUGGUGUCUGGCAAGGUUAAGCACACGCGAAGCCGUAGCGAAAGCGAGUCUGAAUAGGGCGCUUAAGUCAGAUGCUGCA
RNAcentral lists this ribosomal RNA (693 nucleotides) under Campylobacter lari. RNAcentral describes it as "partial 23S ribosomal RNA". It matches the Rfam family "Bacterial large subunit ribosomal RNA", at positions 1 to 711 of the family's 2925-position model. Lineage: Bacteria; Pseudomonadati; Campylobacterota; Epsilonproteobacteria; Campylobacterales; Campylobacteraceae. The record is from RNAcentral.